GUCCAUUUUACUGUUUCUGUGUCAAGCCCAUUUCUGGGUGCGAGUCCGUUUGGUAACGCAGAAGCACUUGAACGCUCUCCGCUGGUCUGAGAACUUCCUACUUCCUCAGUGAAUCAUUAUAAUCUGUGCACACGGACAGAAUUCUUGCUCUUGGCGCCAAGAAGCUCUGGGGAGAUUGAUGACCUAUGACGAGACCAGCGGAACACCCGGCGCCAUUCUGCGGGUUCCUGAGAAUCAAAGAGUACCUGCUCUCUGGAGAGGGGCCCUCUGAGGGGGACAGCAAAAGGUCUUGACCCGCCCACCGCGUGAAGCAAUUAUUUUUCUGGACAGCUCCCUGACAUUCCCAAGGAGAGAGAGAAAAUGACAGGCUCUAGUUGGAGUUUAAUCAUCCCGACCCUUCCAUCCUCGGUACCUGCAUCAAGAUGCAACACAAAUCAAAUCUUCAGGAGUCUGGACAUUUUGUUUUUGUGUAACUCAUUAAGCAUUUCCCCAUGUGCUGUGGUUGAUGUUUCUCUCGGCCAGGAAUUUUAUACCACGUGUGCAUGUCCCUAUUUGGCUCGGCAAAGUCAUUCUCAGGAUAUACAAGCUAAUGAUGCCUGUGGUUUUGAAACUUUAUUGUGAUUAUUUGCAUAGGGCAUUUGGAAAAUCUGUAGACAGGUUAUUAAGAGAUGCUGAGCAAUGGAAACAUUAUUAGGCCUUAUUAUUGUUUAUUGUACCCAGAUGUUGCGCAUUUCCAGCAUCCCAGAGGAUUAGGAGUGAUGUCAGAUACCCAACUCUUACUUUUCCUUGCAGAUAUUAAGUCUAAAUUUUCC
Molecule: long non-coding RNA, 812 nt
Organism: Vulpes vulpes (red fox)
Lineage: Eukaryota; Metazoa; Chordata; Mammalia; Carnivora; Canidae
Source: Ensembl